This is a long non-coding RNA of Agrilus planipennis (emerald ash borer), 1780 nucleotides long. RefSeq lists it as uncharacterized. NCBI's taxonomy places the organism in Eukaryota, Metazoa, Arthropoda, Insecta, Coleoptera, Buprestidae. The record is from RefSeq and is a predicted model, not a curated record. The transcript is spliced from 9 exons.
UUUAAUGAGCAUUGUAAUAAUAUUUUUUUUUUGUUAUCCUUUAGAUUUCCAUUGGUGAAAAAUGAGUUCGUGUGCUUUCUCAUGUGAAAUUUGUGCUAUCGGAGGAAUUAAUGUACCUAGACCUUCGUAUAUUUAAUUGAAUGUUCGAAGGAUGAACACGUGAGCUGAAACAAAAUUAACGGCGGACAAGGGUGAACUAGCCAAAAAUUAUUUCAACCUGCAUCAAAAAAGUAACCUCUUCUAUUAUCUGACCAUGUCCAUUUAUCAAUAUUUCAGAUGACGUUAAAAUAUCCAUCUCAGCUCUUAUACUAUUACACUCAAACCUUCAUCCAACACUCCAAAAUAUCGAUCCGAAAAUUUCCAGAAAUGUCGCUAAUAUUUGGGGAAAACAGUUAAUGCAUAUAGGAAGCAUAUGAGUUGAAAGAAAUUGUACCUACAAAUUAAUCCUUGUAAAUAUUUCCAUUGGUGAAAAAUGAGUUCGCGUGCUUUCUCAUGUGAAAUUUGUGCUAUCGGAGGAAUUAAUGUACCUAGACCUUCGUAUAUUUAAUUGAAUGUUCGAAGGAUGAACACGUGAGCUGAAACAAAAUUAACGGCGGACAAGGGUGAACUAGCCAAAAAUUAUUUCAACCUGCAUCAAAAAAGUAACCUCUUCUAUUAUCUGACCAUGUCCAUUUAUCAAUAUUUCAGAUGACGUUAAAAUAUCCAUCUCAGCUCUUAUACUAUUACACUCAAACCUUCAUCCAACACUCCAAAAUAUCGAUCCGAAAAUUUCCAGAAAUGUCGCUAAUAUUUGGGGAAAACAGUUAAUGCAUAUAGGAAGCAUAUGAGUUGAAAGAAAUUGUACCUACAAAUUAAUCCUUGUAAAUGUUUUCAUGGGCGAAGGAUGAGUUCCUGUGCUUUUUUGGGUGACGUUUACGCUAUUGAGGUAGUAACCUGUAUAAAAUCUUUGAAACGUUGAAAUCUCGUGUCCAGAUUCUAUACUACUAUACUUAAACCCUCAUCUAACACUCCAGAACAUCGAUUCGAAAAUUUUUAGAAAAGUCGCGAAUCCUUGUGGGAUGCAGUUAAUGCCCUGAAAUAUUCAAACAUUGUUUAAUGGGCCAAUAUUGCUUACGUAUCAGAGAACCUACCGUGCGUAUACCUAGAAGGUUUCCACGGCAGAUAAACGAGUUCCUGCAGGUUUUGGCUAGAAGUGUCGGAGCGUAUGACACUGGAUCGUCAUUACAUUCGCCGUGAAGACCGCCUAACGUGCAAUACUAACCACUAGGAGCAACACUUACUAAAUGCGCACCGUAAUAACACCGUCGAUCGGAUCCUACGAGCUCAUAAUAAUACAAACACCGUUUUUCUUGUCCGCACGAUACAAAAAGCAGCGGUUCUGUCUAUGCAUUUAGUAGUAUCCGGGAAAAACACCGAAUCGAUUGCAAGUUCGUCUGGUCUGGUCGAAAUUUUUCCGCGGUUUCCUUCGAUUACACUGCACAGCAUAGAGUUUCGUUAUCAUAGAGGUAGCCAGUAACAUGUGAAUGCUUGUUUCAUUACAAGGGACUUCUACGCAGCGUUCUUUCUCAAUCCUGAUAUCCUAGUAGAGCAUGGAUUAAAUGGGGGUGGCGCUCUCUAUUUCUAUAUGUUCCUGACAUCAACGACGCAGUAGCGUUCCAAACGUUCGCUAAAGAAACGACGACUCCUGCGUCACACUGGAGCAACUGGAGCUAUUUGACACACACAAUUACUAGCCGUCGCCUACUUCGACGAAUCCGAUUAUUAUUGUUAUUAGUUUGUU